This 483-nucleotide ribosomal RNA is filed under the name uncultured bacterium. RNAcentral's name for it is "partial 16S ribosomal RNA". It matches the Rfam family "Bacterial small subunit ribosomal RNA", at positions 28 to 523 of the family's 1533-position model. The record is from RNAcentral.
GACGAACGCUGGCGGCGUGCUUAACACAUGCAAGUCGAACGAUGAACCCGGAGCUUGCUCCGGUGGAUUAGUGGCGAACGGGUGAGUAACACGUGAGUAACCUGCCCUUGACUCUGGGAUAACUGCGGGAAACUGUAGCUAAUACCGGAUGCGACCCUCGGCGGCAUCGCCAGGGGGUGGAAAGAAUUUCGGUCAAGGAUGGACUCGCGGCCUAUCAGCUAGUUGGUGAGGUAACGGCUCACCAAGGCGACGACGGGUAGCCGGCCUGAGAGGGGGCCCGGCCACACGGGGACGGAGAGAGGGCCCAGCCGCCGAGGGGAGGAAGCAUUGGGAAAUAUUGCAAAAUGGCGCAAGCCUGAUGCAGCAACGCCGCGUGAGGGAUGACGGCCUUCGGGUUGUAAACCUCUUUUAGUAGGGAAGAAGCGAAAGUGACGGUACCUGCAGAAAAAGCACCGGCUAACUACGUGCCAGCCGCCGCGGUAA